This 433-nucleotide ribosomal RNA is filed under the name uncultured bacterium. Its description in RNAcentral is "partial 16S ribosomal RNA". It matches the Rfam family "Bacterial small subunit ribosomal RNA", at positions 29 to 507 of the family's 1533-position model. The record is from RNAcentral.
AACGAACGCUGGCGGCAUGCCUAACACAUGCAAGUCGAACGAGACCUUCGGGUCUAGUGGCGCACGGGUGCGUAACGCGUGGGAACCUGCCCUUAGGUUCGGAAUAACUCCCCGAAAGGGGUGCUAAUACCGGAUAAUGUCUUCGGACCAAAGAUUUAUCGCCUUUGGAUGGGCCCGCGUUGGAUUAGCUAGUUGGUAGGGUAAAAGCCUACCAAGGCGACGAUCCAUAGCUGGUCUGAGAGGAUGAUCAGCCACACUGGGACUGAGACACGGCCCAGACUCCUACGGGAGGCAGCAGUGGGGAAUAUUGGACAAUGGACGAAAGCCUGAUCCAGCAAUGCCGCGUGAGUGAUGAAGGCCUGAGGGUUGUAAAGCUCUUUUACCCGGGAUGAUAAUGACAGUACCGGGAGAAUAAGCUCCGGCUAACUCCGUG